GAUGAACGCUGGCGGCGUGCCUAAUACAUGCAAGUCGAGCGAACAGACGAGGAGCUUGCUCCUCUGACGUUAGCGGCGGACGGGUGAGUAACACGUGGAUAACCUCCCUAUAAGACUGGGAUCAUUUCGGGAAACCGGAGCUAAUACCGGAUAAUAUAUUGAACCGCAUGGUUCAAUAGUGAAAGACGGUUUUGCUGUCACUUAUAGAUGGAUCCGCGCCGCAUUAGCUAGUUGGUAAGGUAACGGCUUACCAAGGCGACGAUGCGUAGCCGACCUGAGAGGGUGAUCGGCCACACUGGAACUGAGACACGGUCCAGACUCCUACGGGAGGCAGCAGUAGGGAAUCUUACGCAAUGGGCGAAAGCCUGACGGAGCAACGCCGCGUGAGUGAUGAAGGUCUUCGGAUCGUAAAACUCUGUUAUUAGGGAAGAACAAAUGUGUAAGUAACUAUGCACGUCUUGACGGUACCUAAUCAGAAAGCCACGGCUAACUACGUG
Molecule: ribosomal RNA, 497 nt
Filed under: uncultured bacterium
Lineage: Bacteria
Description: partial 16S ribosomal RNA
Rfam family: Bacterial small subunit ribosomal RNA
Source: RNAcentral